RNAcentral lists this ribosomal RNA (237 nucleotides) under uncultured bacterium. RNAcentral describes it as "partial 16S ribosomal RNA". It matches the Rfam family "Bacterial small subunit ribosomal RNA", at positions 250 to 507 of the family's 1533-position model. The record is from RNAcentral.
GGCCGCGGGAAUUCGAUUAGGCGACGAUCAGUAGCUGGUCUGAGAGGAUGAUCAGCCACAUUGGGACUGAGACACGGCCCAAACUCCUACGGGAGGCAGCAGUGGGGAAUAUUGGACAAUGGGCGCAAGCCUGAUCCAGCCAUGCCGCGUGAGUGAUGAAGGCCCUAGGGUUGUAAAGCUCUUUUGUGCGGGAAGAUAAUGACGGUACCGCAAGAAUAAGCCCCGGCUAACUUCGUG